This 255-nucleotide ribosomal RNA is filed under the name uncultured bacterium. Its description in RNAcentral is "partial 16S ribosomal RNA". It matches the Rfam family "Bacterial small subunit ribosomal RNA", at positions 524 to 776 of the family's 1533-position model. The record is from RNAcentral.
GACAGAGGGUGCAAACGUUGUUCGGAAUUACUGGGCGUAAAGCGUGUGUAGGCGGCCAUUCAAGUCGGAUGUGAAAGCCCCGGGCUCAACCCGGGAAGUGCACCCCGAAACUGGAUGGCUUGAGUAUCGGAGAGGUUGGUGGAAUUCUCGGUGUAGGAGGUGAAAUUCGUAGAUAUCGAGAGGAACACCGGUGGCGAAGGCGGCCAACUGGACGAAUACUGACGCUGAGACACGAAAGCGUGGGGAGCAAACAGG